CUCUCUCUCUCUCCCCUCUCUCCCCAACCAACCCCUACCACCAUUGACAACCACUUACCACCACCACCAUUGAUUCUUCGUCCCCAAAAACAGGGCCGCCGGCUCACCGCCAUCCUUCUUGAACCAAAGAUCUGAACAACGUAAGCCAAUCUGAACUAGAUUCCCUCAGUACAACAUCUAAUGCACAACGUACCACAACAAAAUCACUCAUCACAAAAUUCACAGCUCAUAGCUACCUGUCUUCAUCUCUCAACUUCUUCAUCUGAUUCAUCUCUCAAGUUUUCGAUCCGAUUUAUGAUGUAAUCGACCUGCAUUGUUCUGAUCUGAUUAGUUCAUACACAAUUUCAAUCUGUUACAGUUUGGAAGAAAUUCACCGUAGUUACAACGUUUUCCAGAUCUGAGUUGAGAAAGUUUUGUGAUUCACCGAGGAUCUGAAUCGAUGAAAUAUGGUUGUUUCGAUUUCGAGCAUCAGCGAGGAGCUCGGCAAGAUUGACGGACAGAUUGCUGAUAUUUUUCGAGCACUUUCUGACUAAUUCUGGUUUUGUUAACUUUAAAUUGGGAAAAUGUGACUAAUUCUGGUUC
Molecule: long non-coding RNA, 582 nt
Filed under: Helianthus annuus (common sunflower)
Lineage: Eukaryota; Viridiplantae; Streptophyta; Magnoliopsida; Asterales; Asteraceae
Description: hypothetical non coding rna
Source: RNAcentral